AGAUUAAGUUAUUAAGGGCGCACGGUGGAUGCCUUGGCACUAGAAGCCGAUGAAGGACGUUACUAACGACGAUAUGCUUUGGGGAGCUGUAAGUAAGCUUUGAUCCAGAGAUUUCCGAAUGGGGAAACCCAGCAUGAGUUAUGUCAUGUUAUCGAUAUGUGAAUACAUAGCAUAUCAGAAGGCACACCCGGAGAACUGAAACAUCUUAGUACCCGGAGGAAGAGAAAGAAAAUUCGAUUCCCUUAGUAGCGGCGAGCGAAACGGGAAGAGCCCAAACCAACAAGCUUGCUUGUUGGGGUUGUAGGACACUCUAUACGGAGUUACAAAGGACGACAUUAGACGAAUCAUCUGGAAAGAUGAAUCAAAGAAGGUAAUAAUCCUGUAGUCGAAAAUGUUGUCUCUCUUGAGUGGAUCCUGAGUACGACGGAGCACGUGAAAUUCCGUCGGAAUCUGGGAGGACCAUCUCCUAAGGCUAAAUACUCUCUAGUGACCGAUAGUGAACCAGU
RNAcentral lists this ribosomal RNA (506 nucleotides) under Staphylococcus aureus. RNAcentral describes it as "bacterial LSU rRNA". It matches the Rfam family "Bacterial large subunit ribosomal RNA", at positions 1 to 499 of the family's 2925-position model. Lineage: Bacteria; Bacillati; Bacillota; Bacilli; Caryophanales; Staphylococcaceae. The record is from RNAcentral.